This 253-nucleotide ribosomal RNA is filed under the name uncultured bacterium. Its description in RNAcentral is "partial 16S ribosomal RNA". It matches the Rfam family "Archaeal small subunit ribosomal RNA", at positions 474 to 727 of the family's 1478-position model. The record is from RNAcentral.
UACCAGCACCCCGAGUGGUCGGGACGAUUAUUGGGCCUAAAGCAUCCGUAGCCGGUUCUACAAGUCUUCCGUUAAAUCCACCUGCUUAACAGAUGGGCCGCGGAGGAUACUACAAGACUAGGAGGCAGGAGAGGCAAGCGGUACUCAGUGGGUAGGGGUAAAAUCCGUUGAUCCAUUGAAGACCACCAGUGGCGAAGGCGGCUUGCCAGAAUGCGCUCGACGGUGAGGGAUGAAAGCUGGGGGAGCAAACCGG